GGGAGAUAAACACUCACAUUCGCGAAGGCAAGAGGGACCCCUAUACCCGUUCGAAACCGACUCCCCCAGUUGCAUAUGAACUCCACACACAGACAACAAGCUCUCUCUUCUCCUUUCACAUCUCUUAGGUCUUAUACCUUUCUUGGUUUUCCAUUUUCAGUCCAAUUUUAUCCUUGUACAGGGUGAGAUGGUUUAAAUUAUUUCUUUUCUUGUUGAUCUUUUUCUACGGCUUUAACAUGGGUUAUGUAAUUUUAUGCGCAUAAAGGCCUUCUGGGUUCUGGUUUAGUUGCUUGUUUUAUUUUCUGCAAACCCUUAAUUCUGAUUUUUUUCUUUUUCAAAUACUGCUAAUUUCGAUGUAAAUUUGUCUAAUAUCGGUCAUUUCUUCCUUUUUUACCGUUGACACUCGACUUUCUUUCGUUCAAUUUUUUUUUUUCUUUUUGAUGCAUUUCUUGAGCACAAUAACUAUUGAAUCUGGUUGGUUUAUUGGUUCUUUGAUUAUCAGUGAAUAUGGAGGAUUAAUCUUUUUUGCUUGUAAUUUCUGUAGAUUGUUUGAAUUACUUGGUAUCAUCGAAGCAGCCAUCAUUUUGGACUUGUUAAUCCAAUUCAUUCUUGAGGUCGAAUUUUGAUGCUGCUUUAUGUGCAUGAUUUAGAUCACUUUCUAGAGUUAUAACCAUAGAAUCAUCUGUGUUGUCUCUUGUGUUUUGGGUGUCUAUCGUUGGAAAGGCAUGUUAAAAUGGUAAUCCUAAAAUGUACGAACAGUAGAGCAUAAUCUCUUUUUUGGCUUCUGAAGAGAAGCGAAAAUUAGAACAUAAUAUGACUAGAUUCUCUUUACCUUUGCGUUUGACACAAAACUGUAAUUUCUUUACGGAUAUUACAAUUCGAUUAUAGAAUGAAUUGAACUGAGUAUGGUAAUGAAAUACGAAUGAAUUCUACUUCAUGAUUUGUUCGGACAAGAGAUGGCAAGUUGUCUGAGUGAUCUUCAGCUUUGUCUUCUGAAUUGAGUGGGAUGUUAAUCAACACGAUGAACAAUUUUUUAUUCUUCCUGGCUGUUUUUUCAAUGUUCCUCACUGCUUACCUACUAUUGUUUUUCGUGCAGCUAUUAAUACUUGUAUGGUAUGCUAGUUCAGGGCUUGUUUCAUCUGGUUUUCAAAUAGGAGUGUGGUUAAUUUAUUCUUGGUACAUUCUUGAUGCAUCUACUUUUUUAUGGGCCAAGAAAAAGAAGGCAGAUGCUGUGUGCUUUUAGAUUUUAAUUUGAAGGUUUGAUCAUGGCAUUUGAACCUCAUUAUCAAAGAGGUCCCCAAGUAGGUGUUUUCAACAUGGAAGAUAUUCAGUUAAAUACUAAUUGGGAAGAUGUGAUUUGUCCUAUAUGCUUGGAUUUCCCUCACAACAGUGUACUCCUUCAAUGCUCAUCUUAUGAGAAAGGCUGCAGGCCUUUUGUUUGUGAUACAGACCAUUUGCACUCAAACUGUUUGGACCGUUUCAAAAGUGCUGGUGGUAUGCCAUCCCCUUCAACUUCUGAUGAAUCUCUAACAACAAAUACACAGCAUAUGAUAGUGGAGGGCAAUUGUAAACUAGCUUGUCCCCUGUGUAGAGGUGAAGUUACUGGGUGGGUGGUUGUUGAUAAAGCUCGUGCACAUUUGGACGAGAAAAAGCGUUGUUGUGAGGAAGAACAAUGUACUUUCGCAGGGACCUAUUCAGAACUAUGCAAACAUGCUCAACUAGAACACCCUCAUGCCCGUCCUUCAAAAAUUGAUCCUGCUCGACAACUUGAUUGGGAGAAUUUCCAGCAGUCCUCUGAGAUAAUAGAUGUUUUGAGCAUGAUACAUUCAGAAGUCCCACGUGGGGUUGUUUUGGGAGACUAUGUAAUUGAGUAUGGGGAUGAUGAGACUGGAGAUGAAUUUGAGGACUUUCCUGGGGAUGAAGGCAACUGGUGGACUUCUUGCAUCUUGUACCAGGUAUUUGAUAACUUCAGAAGUUCAAGAAAUAGAAGAAGGUCAAGAGUAGCUGAUACAAGAAGGGGAAGUCGCCGCUCGAGUUAUGAUAAUUCAAAUUCUGAUGAGGGUUCUGUCACAUCUGUAGAAUUUGCAGAGUAUAGACUAGAUGAGAUUGAUGAUGAGUUUCCAAGUACGCGUGGCCCCUCCAGGGGUAGCUCUGGUCAUCGCAGUUCCCGAAGGCGUCGUUCCCGCUUUUAUGACAAUUAGGUAUGCCCUGCACGAAUACCUCCACUUUGGCUUUUAAGGAGGUCUCUUUUACAGCGUAAUGGACCAUAUAGAUCCUUUAUUUCUUGAAUCUCUACUACGUAUUUUUAUUUAUUAAGUAUUUGUGAUAUACCUCAUUAGUGCACUUGACAUAUUGGCAGCUGAUUGAUGAAAAGUGAACGGAGGAUUGAAAGUGGUAGAGAUGCUGGAAAUUUAGUUAGUCUUAAAACAAAAAGUUACAUCUGGAUCAGAUCUUGUAAAAUAUGUAAUUAGAUCUGCCGAUUACACCUGAAUUUGUAUUUGACUGGUUACAUGGUGACUGAAUUUGUUAUUCAUUCUGUUGAAUUUGAAAUUGAUUAUUAAUUUUGCAUAUUAGGAAUGUGAAAGAAGAUUUAAUUGUUCAAUUGUACAGGAUGUGAUCUUGAUAGUAAUUUUGGCUUCUUUUGCAGUCCAAUGCAGCUAU
This 2661-nucleotide unclassified non-coding RNA is filed under the name Hevea brasiliensis (rubber tree). The record is from RNAcentral. Lineage: Eukaryota; Viridiplantae; Streptophyta; Magnoliopsida; Malpighiales; Euphorbiaceae.